GACGAACGCUGGCGGCGUGCCUAAUACAUGCAAGUUGAGCGAUGAAGAUUGGUGCUUGCGCCAAUUUGAAGAGCAGCGAACGGGUGAGUAACGCGUGGGGAAUCUGCCUUUGAGCGGGGGACAACAUUUGGAAACGAAUGCUAAUACCGCAUAACAACUUUAAACAUAAGUUUUAAGUUUGAAAGAUGCAAUUGCAUCACUCAAAGAUGAUCCCGCGUUGUAUUAGCUAGUUGGUGAGGUAAAGGCUCACCAAGGCGAUGAUACAUAGCCGACCUGAGAGGGUGAUCGGCCACAUUGGGACUGAGACACGGCCCAAACUCCUACGGGAGGCAGCAGUAGGGAAUCUUCGGCAAUGGACGAAAGUCUGGCCGAGCAACGCCGCGUGAGUGAAGAAGGUUUUCGGAUCGUAAAACUCUGUUGGUAGAGAAGAACGUUGGUGAGAGUGGAAAGCUCAUCAAGUGACGGUAACUAACCAGAAAGGGACGGCUAACUACGU
RNAcentral lists this ribosomal RNA (496 nucleotides) under uncultured bacterium. RNAcentral describes it as "partial 16S ribosomal RNA". It matches the Rfam family "Bacterial small subunit ribosomal RNA", at positions 28 to 506 of the family's 1533-position model. The record is from RNAcentral.